Molecule: non-coding RNA, 63 nt
Filed under: Desulfovibrio sp.
Lineage: Bacteria; Pseudomonadati; Thermodesulfobacteriota; Desulfovibrionia; Desulfovibrionales; Desulfovibrionaceae
Source: RNAcentral
CAGCGAAACAUCCCCCGGAUGUCGCCGUGGCGUGGUGGUCACGGCCUGACGAGCCAGCCAGCC